This is a long non-coding RNA of Orcinus orca (killer whale), 556 nucleotides long. RefSeq lists it as uncharacterized. NCBI's taxonomy places the organism in Eukaryota, Metazoa, Chordata, Mammalia, Artiodactyla, Delphinidae. The record is from RefSeq and is a predicted model, not a curated record. The transcript has 3 exons.
AACAUCUACGUCUCGCUCUCGCACAUGCGCAAACCGCUCCAAAUAGCGUGCCAGGCGCGGAAGGAUUUGAGCAUGCGCAGCGGUGUCAAGGCGUUUGGCGGGCUUCAGGCAGUACAGAAAACGAGCCCCGCCUCCCUGCAUCUGAUUGGUCCAGUUAAACACUAGUGUGCCUGAGACCGUCUUGAAGGAAGGACUUUUCUUCUGUGAGGAGGAGCUGAGGAGUCAGGGCAAAGUGCGUGGCGUCUCUGAAGAAAACAUUUCCGAAGUUACUCUGUGUUCCACUCUUGUUGAAUGAUGAGCUCUGGGAGUCUGUGCUUCAGCCUUACUCAGUUUUCCUGAAGACUCCACUGAGACACGGACUGCACUGUCCCUCACCAUGGACCCCAGCCUUCAGCCAGAUGAGGUUCUCACAGAGACCGUAGUGCCUUGCGCCUUGUUGCUGUCAAGUCUGUGCCAACAUGACUCUUGAAUUGAUACUCAGUGAUUCCAAGAGAAUCUGCCUCUCCUUGCUUCUUCCUUAAUGAACAUGAAAUACCAACAGCUCUAAGGGGGAAAA